UUUUUUUUUUUUUUUUUUCAUGUUAAGUAGGAAACUUCUUGUAAAUGUUAGGAAUUAUUAGAUCCCUCUGGACAUGGGAGCCUGGUCUUGAGAGCAAGGGCCUGCCUUUGGAGGGGAGGAGGGAACUCUUUUCUGAAACCAGAUAUUGGAAUAUAGACGGGGACAAGGGGUUUCUGAGGUGAGGGCUGAGAGGGAAAGGCCAGCCCUUUCUGGUCUCGGUGCCCAGGAAACCUAGAGUUAUCAGCUGUUGGGGUGAAGGGGAAAGGAAGGGGGGAGCCUGGCAAGUUUGUGGACAGAGAAUGAGAUAGUCACAAAAUGUUUGAACUCUUCCCUUGGGAGCAGUCCUCCUGUACUUGUUGCCCUGUUUCUAUCCACUUCUAGCCUUCCCACAGCAUCCCACUAUGGCUUGCCCACCCCCACCACUGGGUUUGGCCUUAGGGAGGGGUAAACCAGACCCCAGGCCCCCCAGCCAUGAUCCUCUACCCACUCACCCUUGCUCCAGUGUUAACCACCCAUCACAAGUCAUCUGUGGCUUCCAGGAGACUUCCCCUGAGCCAUGCUGGUGAGCCUAGGACCUGACAUUACAGGUCAGGUCCUAGAGAUCCUAACUGGAGAAGUCCCAGGAAGGGAGGCUUCAAGUACUGACUUGUAAUGUUAAGAAGUGAUGGGGGAAAAAAACAAAAGGUAAUGGAAUAUGUGAGUGCUAGAAGAGACUUGGUGACCUCCAACUCAGCCUUCUUACUUUACACAUGAGAGGCUGAGGUCCUGAGAGGCUGACUCAAGGUUUCACAGUUGCAAACCAGAACCAUAGGUCUUGCUGGCUUGUUUCUUUCCUAGUUUUAUCUCUCCUUGUGACCAGAAAUGGCUCCUUCACCUCCCAGUCACCAUCUGAGAAAAAGCCUGCCUCAGGGCUGUACACUAGUUGGGGACAGGGGAAUGGAGACAUGGUUCCUCUAAGGUUCCAGAUUGGGUCAUGAGCUCUAAACCCCAAAGCACUUGGUUUAUACGUUGGUUUAACCUGUGGCUUAUAAUUAUUUAUGAGUCUGCCUUCCCCACUAAACUGCGAGUUCCUCCAGGGCAGAGACCAAGUCUUACUCAUUUUUGUGACCACAGUCCUGGCCUAAAGGAGGCAUUAAAUACAUGUUGGGUAAACUGGAUGGACUGGGGGGGGGGGGGUGCUGGAUAGGUUGGGGAGGGUGAGGUAGCUGGACCAAUUAUGUUGGGGGCUUAAGAGAUCACCAGAUAAUUCCUCCUUCUCUCAGUUCAAAAUAAAUUGAGAAAUAAGACAUAAAAGACAGACAUGAAAAAGUGGUUUUACCAGUAUUUCUGACAAAGCUGAUUAGAGAAUGUGGCCAAAUGUGCUUGUUAAUGAUCUAAAACGUGGGGCACCUGGGUGGCUCAGUCGGUUGAGCAUCUGACUCGAUUUCAGCUCAGGUCACGAUCUCGGGGUUGCGCGAUUGAGCCCACAUCAGGCUCCACACUCAGCUGGGAGUCUGCUUCUCUCCUUCCUCUCUAUCUGUCCCUCCCCUGGCUCUGGUACAUAUGCACUCUCUUUCUCUAAAAUGAAUAAAUAAAUCUUUAAAAAAAAUAAUCUCCUAAAACUAACCAUGCUGACCUCCACCCCCAAAAAGAGCAGACCUCUCACUCCCUGGUACAGGGGCAGAACUUUAUCUGGAAGUUUACCAUGUAGAUCAAUGAAGAAUAUGCUACCUUUGCUACAACAGAACCAAAAAAGAGAGGGAGGUCGGUGGAAAGAUUCAGCCCAGCUCCUCCUAAGCCACCAAUCAGACAAGCCUCCUCCCUUGGAAAGGAAGGGUGAGUGAAGAGAAAAGAGGGGGGUGGUCUCACAUUUCACCCUGAAGGAAAGUAGAGUGGGAAUUCCCUUCCUGUAUGGAAACAUUAGUGAGGACAAAUCUCCCACCAUUAGAUGGAAUGAGGUGGAUGAAUGGGUAGAAGGGAGGUUGAGUGAAGGGAAACCCCAUCAUCACAGUGUCUGUGAUACACAGCCAGCUUUCCAAAAUAGAAUGCUCAAAUUCUUAUUCUUGUGGUCUGCCUGCCAGAAGGCUCACCUGUGUGUGGAGGUGAGGAGAGGCCAUUGCCUCCUAUGAGCUGAAAUAAGAGGCCAAAUCUCAGAGCCACAGUCCACUGACACAACCGGAGGGCCAUGUUCACAUUCAGGGCCAGCCUUUGGUCUAGAAAGGGCCCAAGACUGACUGAGGAGAGCUUCCCUUGCUGGUUCAUUUGUCUUCAGUGUCACCGAGCCCCUGCCCUUUUGUGCUUGAGAAAGCUCUAGAAUCCAGCAUGUACUAAACUACUGUUCCUCUCAGUCAGGCACUUGCCAUAGAAUAGCCCAUUUAUUCCUUAUAAAAACCUGGUGAAGGAAAUGAUGUUGGUCCCAUUUUACAGAUUAAGCCACUGUGACUUGACUGUUGAAUUUACCCAUUAAGUCACAGAGCCAGUGGGACCUCCUGAAGGCCUGUGUGGGUGCUCAAGAACUGAACCACACCCAUCUGGGUUGUUUCUAGGAGUCUAGUGCUUUGGGCCUCUCCCCCUGGGAGGUGGGGGGAGGGUUGCUUCCUAAGUUACCCUAAAACACUGCUCUAGGAAUCUUGCCAACCUUGUGCUGUCGUCCGUACAACAAGAACCAGCAACUUAGCAAGGCCCUCUCCAGUGUGGCUCCAGAUGGCCUUUCCACCAGUUCUUCCUCUGCGCCACAGCCCCCAUCUUCCUUCGAUAGUCACAGCCUCAGCCUUCUAGUCCUCCCGCUGGGAAUACCCUGCUUGCCAUUUUGCACACCCGUAAGUCUUUCUCAUCCUUUGAUCGCCAGCACUGGGAACAUUCACUGCUUCUUCCAGUGUCUCUAGGUCAUAUGUCACUUCACCUUGAUUUAAAGGAUUGGGUAUACCCUGGCUCUCCUACUACCCCUGGCUGCUCCUCCCAGGAGUAUUGUCUCCCCUGACCCAGAAGUGCCACAUAAAAGGUGUGUGGCAGUGUUGGCAUCAGAGCAGCCUGCAACUGAGGGGCUGCAGCUCAACCUUUGCUCCUACUGUCCCCACAUGACAGUCACCUGCCCAGGUACCACUUGGCUUAUAAGAGACAACAGACAGGGCUAAGUGCCCCCCAGGAUGGCAGAAUGAUGCCAAGCAGGCGCUGACACAUCUCCUGGACAUGACAUCUUUCUUCCUUUUAAUAACAGUUAUUAAGGGGCCUGUGCCAACACACUGAAGUGAGGGGCUGGGCUUUGCUAUCUGUAUGGCUCCUAUCGCACUGGGUCUCCACCCCUAGGCCCAGCCCCAAGGCCAGGAUACAUCGGUUGUUUGUAUUGGCCUUGGAUUGCCCUUUACCCGUUCAGCCCAUAGAAGGGGCAGCCAGUCUUGCAACCUGGGGAAUUUGAUUUGAUUUACACACUUUUGUGAUCAGGACAUCAGGGAUACCUUAGAGCCUUUUCCACUUCAGUUCAGUCUGCCCAUCCCUGCUUCCUCAGUUGAUCUUGUAUACACACCCAGUACUGCACUCCAGAGUUAAGGUCAGAGACUUCCGAGGCUGCCCAGACACUCCCGAGGCUGCCCAGACACUCAUGCACACAAAUAGAUCUGUACCCAGACAUGCACACAAGUACACCUAGACACAUGCAUACUUUGGUAAGCAUACACUGAUAUAUGAUUAUUUAGACAGCCAGGCAGACAUACAAACAUCACAGAUAGUAUGUUCAUGUACCUACAUGCACAGGUAGUUCUGCAUGGGCAUGUGUAGGUACAUUGAGUUGAGCCAUAUGAAAUUACUAGUAUUCAGUGUUGUUGUUUUCUUCCAAAAAUAGAAUCUAGAAGUGCCUGGCUAACUCAGUUGGUAGAGCAUGCGAUUCCUGAUCUCAGGGUUGUGAGUUCAAGUCCCACACUGGUGUAGAACUUACUUAAAAAAGGGGGCACCUGGGUAGCUCAGUUGGUUAAGUGUCUGCCCUCAGCUCAGGUCAUGAUCCUGGGGUCCUAGGAUCAAGCCCUGCAUCAGGCUCUCUGCUCAGUGAGGCGUCUGCUUGUCCCUCUCUCUCUGUCCUUUCCCCCUAUGUGUGCUCUCUCUCAAAUAAAAUCUUAGAGAAUCUGCAGCCUCAGUGGUGCAGCAGUUUAGCGCCGCCUGCAGCCCAGGGUGUGAUCCUGGAGACCCGGGAUCGAGUCCCACAUCAGGCUCCUUGCAUGGAGCCUGCUUCUCCCUCUGCCUGUGUCUCUGCCUCUCUCUCUCUCUCUCUGUGGUUCUCAUGAAUCAAUCAAUCAAUCAAUCUUUAAAAAAAAAUCUUAGAGAAUCUAAUACAAAGUGGGCAUGGAGAGAAAUAUAAAAAAAUCUAGAGCCAAAUUGUACACUCCUGUUUAAGCAGUAUUAUUCACAAUAGCCAAAAAGUGGAAACAACCCAAGUGUCCAUCAGUGGAAGAAUGGAUAAGCAAUGGGGUAUAUACACACAAUAGAAUAUUCAGCCUUAAAAAGGAAGGAAAUUCUCACUCAUGCUCCCACAUGGAUGAACCUGGAGGACACUGUGCUAAGUAAAACAUGCUAGUCAUUAAAAGACGAAUACUGUUUGAUUCCACUUACAUGAGAUGCUUAGAGUGGUCAUAUUUAUAGAGUCAGAAAGUAGAAUGGUGGUUACAAGAGGCUGGGGGAGAGCUGUUGUUUAAUUAAGGGUACAGAGUUUCGACUGAGGAAGAUGAAAAAGUUCUGGAGAUGGAUGGUGGUGAUUGUUGCACAACAAUAUGAAUGUACUUAAUUAUACUGAACUGUAUACUUAAAAAUGGUUAAGAUGGUAAACUUUAUAUGUAUUUUACCACAAUUAAAAAUGAUUUUUAAAAAG
RNAcentral lists this long non-coding RNA (4834 nucleotides) under Canis lupus familiaris (dog). Its description in RNAcentral is "lncRNA (ENSCAFG00000055672.1)". Lineage: Eukaryota; Metazoa; Chordata; Mammalia; Carnivora; Canidae. The record is from RNAcentral.